RNAcentral lists this ribosomal RNA (253 nucleotides) under uncultured bacterium. Its description in RNAcentral is "partial 16S ribosomal RNA". It matches the Rfam family "Bacterial small subunit ribosomal RNA", at positions 524 to 776 of the family's 1533-position model. The record is from RNAcentral.
UACGGAGGGUGCAAGCGUUAUCCGGAUUUACUGGGUUUAAAGGGUGCGUAGGUGGGUCUGUAAGUCAGUGGUGAAAUCUCCGGGCUUAACCCGGAAACUGCCAUUGAUACUAUAGAUCUUGAAUAUCCUGGAGGUGAGCGGAAUAUGUCAUGUAGCGGUGAAAUGCUUAGAUAUGACAUAGAACACCAAUUGCGAAGGCAGCUCACUACGGGAUUAUUGACACUGAGGCACGAAAGCGUGGGGAUCAAACAGG